GACCCUACGGGGCGCAGCAGUGGGGAAUAUUGCACAAUGGGGGAAACCCUGAUGCAGCGACGCCGCGUGAAGGAAGAAGUAUUUCGGUAUGUAAACUUCUAUCAGCAGGGAAGAAAAUGACGGUACCUGAGUAAGAAGCCCCGGCUAACUACGUGCCAGCAGCCGCGGUAAUACGUAGGGGGCAAGCGUUAUCCGGAUUUGCUGGGUGUAAAGGGAGCGUAGACGGCAGUGCAAGUCUGGAGUGAAAGGCGGGGGCUCAACCCCCG
Molecule: ribosomal RNA, 266 nt
Filed under: uncultured bacterium
Lineage: Bacteria
Description: partial 16S ribosomal RNA
Rfam family: Bacterial small subunit ribosomal RNA
Source: RNAcentral